GCCUUCUUAGCUCAAUGGUAGAGCAUUCGGCUGUUAACCGAAGGGUUGUAGGUUCGAGCCCUACAGAAGGCGCCA
Molecule: transfer RNA, 75 nt
Filed under: Bacillota bacterium
Lineage: Bacteria; Bacillati; Bacillota
Also listed under: 9 other names
Description: tRNA-Asn
Rfam family: tRNA
About the family: Transfer RNA (tRNA) molecules are approximately 80 nucleotides in length.
Source: RNAcentral